RNAcentral lists this ribosomal RNA (158 nucleotides) under uncultured bacterium. RNAcentral's name for it is "partial 16S ribosomal RNA". It matches the Rfam family "Bacterial small subunit ribosomal RNA", at positions 355 to 509 of the family's 1533-position model. The record is from RNAcentral.
UGAGGAAUAUUGGUCAAUGGCCGGGAGGCUGAACCAGCCAAGUCGCGUGAGGGAAGACGGCCCUACGGGUUGUAAACCUCUUUUGUCAGGGAGCAAGGGGCGGGUCGGGACCUGCUGUGAGAGUUACCUGAAGAAAAAGCAUCGGCUAACUCCGUGCC